UGGGGAAUAUUGCACAAUGGGCGCAAGCCUGAUGCAGCCAUGCCGCGUGUAUGAAGAAGGCCUUCGGGUUGUAAAGUACUUUCAGUCGGGAGGAAGGUGGUAAGGUUAAUAACCUUAUCAAUUGACGUUACCGACAGAAGAAGCACCGGCUAACUCCGUGCCAGCAGCCGCGGUAAUACGGAGGGUGCAAGCGUUAAUCGGAAUUACUGGGCGUAAAGCGCACGCAGGCGGUUGAUUGAGUCAGAUGUGAAAUCCCCGGGCUUAACCCGGGAAUUGCAUCUGAUACUGGUCAGCUAGAGUCUUGUAGAGGGGGGUAGAAUUCCAUGUGUAGAGGUGAAAUGCGUAGAGAUGUGGAGGAAUACCGGUGGCGAAGGCGGCCCCCUGGACAAAGACUGACGCUCAGGUGCGAAAGCGUGGGGAGCAAACAGG
Molecule: ribosomal RNA, 429 nt
Filed under: Chloroflexota bacterium
Lineage: Bacteria; Bacillati; Chloroflexota
Description: Chloroflexi bacterium partial 16S ribosomal RNA
Rfam family: Bacterial small subunit ribosomal RNA
Source: RNAcentral